UGCGCAGGCGGUUCUGCAAGUCAGAUGUGAAAUCCCCGGGCUUAACCUGGGAACUGCGUUUGAAACUACGGAGCUAGAGUGCGGCAGAGGGGUGGGAUUCGCGUAGGUAGCAGUGAAAUGCGUAGAUAUGUGGAGGAACACCGAUGGCGAAGGCAGCCCCCUGGGCCGACACUGACGCUCAGGCACGAAAGCGUGGGGAGCAAACAGGAUUAGAUACCCUGGUAGUCCACGCCCUAAACUAUGUCAACUAGUUGUCGGGAAAGCAAUUUCUUGGUAACGAAGCUAACGCGUGAAGUUGACCGCCUGGGGAGUACGGUCGCAAGAUUAAA
RNAcentral lists this ribosomal RNA (329 nucleotides) under uncultured bacterium. RNAcentral's name for it is "bacterial SSU rRNA". It matches the Rfam family "Bacterial small subunit ribosomal RNA", at positions 568 to 898 of the family's 1533-position model. The record is from RNAcentral.